RNAcentral lists this ribosomal RNA (814 nucleotides) under Phytophthora nicotianae (black shank of tobacco agent). RNAcentral's name for it is "eukaryotic LSU rRNA". The stretch from base 213 to 367 matches the Rfam family "5.8S ribosomal RNA". The record is from RNAcentral. Lineage: Eukaryota; Oomycota; Peronosporomycetes; Peronosporales; Peronosporaceae.
CGUUAGGUGUGGUCGGUUCUUUAUGUCGGGCGGGCGGCUGUGCUGUCAUUAAUUGGGUGGGCUGCUGCUGACUGAGUCCACGCCUCAACAAAAAAAAAGGCGGAACGUUUGGGCUUCGGCCCUGAUUUAGUAGUCCUUUUUUUUCUUUUAAACCCAUUCCUUAAUACUGAAUAUACUGUGGGGACGAAAGUCUCUGCUUUUAACUAGAUAGCAACUUUCAGCAGUGGAUGUCUAGGCUCGCACAUCGAUGAAGAACGCUGCGAACUGCGAUACGUAAUGCGAAUUGCAGGAUUCAGUGAGUCAUCGAAAUUUUGAACGCAUAUUGCACUUCCGGGUUAGUCCUGGAAGUAUGCCUGUAUCAGUGUCCGUACAUUAAACUUGACUUUCUUCCUUCCGUGUAGUCGGUGGAGGAGAUGUCAGAUGUGAAGUGUCUUGCGAUUGGUCUUCGGACCGGCUGCGAGUCCUUUUAAAUGUACUAAACUGAACUUCUCUUUGCUCGAAAAGUGGUGGCGUUGCUGGUUGUGAAGGCUGCUAUUGUGGCAAAUUGGCGACUGGUUUGUCUGCUGCGGCGUUAAUGGAAGAGUGUUCGAUUCGUGGUAUGGUUGGCUUCGGCUGAACAAUGCACUUAUUGGACGUUUUUCCUGCUGUGGCGUGAUGGACUGGUGAACCAUAGCUCGGUGGCUUGGCUUUUGAAUUGGCUUUGCUGUUGCGAAGUAGGGUGGCAGCUUCGGUUGUCGAGGGUCGAUCCAUUUGGGAACUUAAUGUGUACUUCGGUAUGCAUCUCAAUUGGACCUGAAGCAGGCGAAGGACCUCC